RNAcentral lists this ribosomal RNA (379 nucleotides) under Pseudomonas sp. Its description in RNAcentral is "bacterial SSU rRNA". It matches the Rfam family "Bacterial small subunit ribosomal RNA", at positions 131 to 506 of the family's 1533-position model. The record is from RNAcentral. Lineage: Bacteria; Pseudomonadati; Pseudomonadota; Gammaproteobacteria; Pseudomonadales; Pseudomonadaceae.
UGGUAGUGGGGGUAACGUUCGGAAACGGACGCUAAUACCGCAUACGUCCUACGGGAGAAAGCAGGGGACCUUCGGGCCUUGCGCUAUCAGAUGAGCCUAGGUCGGAUUAGCUAGUUGGUGGGGUAAUGGCUCACCAAGGCGACGAUCCGUAACUGGUCUGAGAGGAUGAUCAGUCACACUGGAACUGAGACACGGUCCAGACUCCUACGGGAGGCAGCAGUGGGGAAUAUUGGACAAUGGGCGAAAGCCUGAUCCAGCCAUGCCGCGUGUGUGAAGAAGGUCUUCGGAUUGUAAAGCACUUUAAGUUGGGAGGAAGGGCAGUUGCCUAAUACGUAACUGUUUUGACGUUACCGACAGAAUAAGCACCGGCUAACUCUGU